This 82-nucleotide small nucleolar RNA is filed under the name Setaria italica (foxtail millet). RNAcentral also lists the same sequence under 1 other name. Lineage: Eukaryota; Viridiplantae; Streptophyta; Magnoliopsida; Poales; Poaceae. The record is from RNAcentral.
UUGGAGGCUGUGAUGACCAAAAAAUACCUACCUAUUUUCUGAAUCCUGACGAGAGAAUCCAAUGGAUCCUUCUGAGCCUUCA